AGCCUGUUUCAUAUUUUAUUACAAAAAAGCGAACAGAAGUAUUGUUUCGUUCUAAAACCUGUAUUAAGUAUAGAAAAAAGCGUUCGAUAAGCCCCAAUUGGCAAAAACACAAGAUUACUAUCAAACGAAUUCAAUGUUAAACAAAAUGUAUUUUGUAUUUUAAUCAGGGAAACAAUGACUUCACGCAGGUCAUUUGUUAAGCCUUGAAGCACAUUUCAUUUAAACUUGGUAUCGUCUGGUUGAUUUUUUUAAAUGAAUUGCCCAUCAUUCUGAAAAAAAAAUAUCUCCAUAUAGGUAUAUGAUUAAGAUUAAUGUUAUAAAAUAUCAGGUGCAUGUCUUUUUUUAACCAUAGUCAUUUGUCAUCUAAACCCGGUGACAUGCUCUGAAUCCGUCUCUUUACGGUACAAUAAUUUCACAGCAUCUUAUAGUGUACCGUAUGCGAGUGUGGUCGCUGUUUCUGUUUAAAUGUAUAUAUUGCAUAAAGUGAUCAUGCGGACAAGUAACAUGUUGUCUGUCAAGAUAGUAAUUUUUUCCGUCACCAUCUUUAGUAAAACCAGUAGAAUAUUCAUUACAGCCAAGUCUUAAUCCAUAAUCGCCUAGUACCUGUUUACAAACAUACUCGUACCGCAAAGAAGUAUGUCCAGCAUUUCUUACUAACUUCAUGCUUUGUAAUAAUCCAUGUCCACCGCACGAAAUGUAUUGACG
RNAcentral lists this long non-coding RNA (705 nucleotides) under Mytilus galloprovincialis (Mediterranean mussel). Lineage: Eukaryota; Metazoa; Mollusca; Bivalvia; Mytilida; Mytilidae. The record is from RNAcentral.